UGUUAUAUGAAUAAAAGAAUAAGGAUGAUAUGAAUGAUCAUUAUUCCCCAAACGCUCCCUUAACCCACCCAAACCCCGCCGGAAAUCCAAAUCCCCCAAUCGUUGUUAUUCCGAAGAUAUUUUUCCUUUGAUUCAUGUGCUUCUUCUUGUUUUAAUUUGGAGAGCCCUAAAAUCCCUUGCGAUUUGAUUCGAAAAGAUUGCGAUUUGCGAAGUAAAGGGUGGGUUAUAGGGGUAAGGGUAAGGGUGAAGGGUAAACUCUGCUUUCUCAACAAAAACAAAAGGAGAAAAAUAUCUAGGUCGAGAAAAAAUGGUGGUUUCCGAUGCUCCCAACGGCGGUGGCUCUUCGUCUCCGCCACUGGUGGUGGAGCAAACCAACACGCUUGGGAUCACGAAGCCUAUCUCUCUCGCCGGUCCCACCGACGCCGAUUUACAUCGGAACGCCGAAUUGGAGAAGUUUCUGCUUGAUUCGGGACUCUACGAGAGCAAUGAAGAAGCUGCCACCAGGAGAGAGGUUCUUCAGCGCCUUGAUCAGACUGUUAAAAGUUGGGUGAAGCAGUUGACGCGUCAACGAGGCUAUACGGAUCAGAUGGUUGAGGAUGCCAAUGCCGUUAUUUUCACUUUCGGUUCUUAUCGACUAGGGGUACAUGGACCAGGAGCUGACAUAGACACUUUGUGUGUUGGCCCUUCUUAUGUGAAUCGGGAGGAAGACUUCUUUAUCAUUCUGCAUAAUAUCUUGGCUGAAAUGGAAGAAGUUACUGAACUUCAACCAGUUCCAGAUGCUCAUGUCCCCGUAAUGAAAUUCAAGUUCCAGGGAAUAUCUAUAGAUUUGCUUUAUGCAAGUAUAUCUCUUUUGGUUGUGCCUGAAGACCUGGACAUCUCACAUGGCUCAGUGCUGUAUGAUGUUGAUGAACCUACUGUUCGAAGUCUUAAUGGCUGCCGGGUGGCAGAUCAAAUUCUUAAACUUGUUCCAAAUGUUGAGCACUUCCGAACCACACUGAGAUGUUUAAAGUUUUGGGCUAAAAGGCGUGGUGUUUAUUCAAAUGUUACGGGAUUCCUUGGAGGCGUGAAUUGGGCUCUAUUAGUUGCUCGAAUUUGCCAGCUUUACCCUAAUGCAAUCCCUAGUAUGCUGGUUUCUCGAUUCUUUAGGGUAUAUACACAGUGGAGGUGGCCAAACCCUGUCAUGCUGUGCACAAUAGAGGAAAAUGAACUGGGUUUCCCAGUUUGGGAUCCUCGUAGAAACCCGCGGGACAGAUAUCACAUUAUGCCAAUUAUUACUCCUGCAUACCCUUGCAUGAAUUCCAGCUACAAUGUCUCCGCAAGCACUCUUCGUGUUAUGAAGGAACAGUUUCGCUAUGGCAACAAGAUUUGUGAUGAAAUUGAGCUCAGUAAAGCCCAAUGGAGUGCACUUUUUCAGCCAUAUUUCUUUUUCGAAGCCUACAAAAACUAUUUACAAGUGGACAUCCUUGCAGCAGACACUGAUGACUUGUUAGCAUGGAAAGGUUGGGUAGAAUCUCGAUUGAGGCAGCUCACCCUGAAGAUAGAGCGGGAUACAAAUGGGAUGUUGCAGUGUCAUCCUUACCCACAUGAGUAUGCAGACACAUCCAGACAUUGUGCUCAUUCUGCAUUUUUCAUGGGCUUGCAAAGAAAAGAGGGAGAAAAAGGUCAAGAGGGACAACAAUUUGAUAUACGUGGAACGGUUGAUGAAUUCAGGCAAGAAAUAAAUAUGUAUAUGUACUGGAAGCCAGGGAUGGAAAUUUUUGUUUCCCAUGUACGUCGAAAGCAGCUCCCUUUAUUUGUAUUUCCAGAUGGUUACAAACGCAAUCGGAUGUCAAGGCACAUAAGCCAUUCAGCUGAAAAAAUGGGUGAGGAUGCCGCAAAGCCCAACCUAGGGUCUUCUGAAAGAAGUGUCAAGAGGAAAAAUGACCAUGAAAUGUUGGAUGAGAAGCUAGGCAAACCAGAGAAGAGGGCCUCUAUCAGCCCACAGAGGCUAGUGUGCGUCUCUCCAGAAAGUUGUUCAUCUCAAAUGAGUAUUGAUGGUACCAAAGGGGUUAGGUUAGCCAAGAAUGCUGGCACCAAAUGCGAAAUUAAGUCAUCUAAUGGACUCCUAGAAAAUGGAAUAAGUACCGAAGGAGCUUACGUGCAUAUUAGUGAAACAGGUGGUGUUCAUCCCAAAAAUGAUAGUCAGAACUCAAGGUGUUCAGAAGUUCAGAAUGAGAAUGGAGUUGAUAGGAACAAAGCUGGGGAAAUGGAUCUGGAUUGCUUGGAAAGUGCAGAAACUGCAUCUUCCAAAAGCUUGUCAAACUGUAAAGAGAGUGCUGUUGAUAUGGAUCAACAACUAGACAAUACUCAUAAUUUCCAAAGAACUGAAUAUUCAGAUUAUGUACCAACUGCGAGCUCCCAGGCCCUCAAUUGCGAGGGUGAUGAUGAUUGUGUGGCACAUCCAGAUCAGUUCUGAGGAGUGGGUGUUUUCAUGGAAAUAGAGUAUUUCAAAAUAUCAUGACCAAAUUGAAGGUCCUGCACCACUAUACGUGCUAUGUAUCCAGUAACUGCUUAAGUACCUGAGUUGUUUUGUGUAUAGAGACUCCCAGAGACCGGACUUUACCUUUUUUUUUUCCUGUUGAAAUUAUAGUUUUACAGCCAAGUUUAAUGCCUUAUUUGAUUACUAAUCAUUGAUGCACUCUAUUCUCUAUAUUGUGUAUAGCGAGAUGUCAGACUUGGAAGUGUUGUAUAAAUUCAAGAAGGGGCUAGGUCAGAAUCUUUGCAGAAGCUAGUAAAAGGCAUGCUUUUUCAACUCAUUCCAAUGUGAAUAAGAAUGUGUUUAUACUGUUCUGUUUGGUUCUGUUUUUUUCUUUUGUAGGAAGAUGAGUUUGAAUUGAAUCACAUGACAUUUGGGAGGUGAAUUGCUGAAAUUAUUCAUAAUGCUAUACCUUGUAUAACUGUGCUGGGGAUGUUGCUGUGCUGAGAUAAUUUGAAUGGGACUGACGCUGUUUUGGACCCUCGAGUCAGCUUGAAAAGAAAUGAUGAAAGGAGAAACAGAUUGGGGUUUGGGGGAUGGCACUGUGUUGAUCGUUUAUGUACAUAGAUGAAGAGCAUGAUGGAGAUGCCUAAAACGGUCACAUCCUGUUGUCUGUGAAACAUGGUCUAAACUCAUAUUCAGAGCUCUCAAUGUCUCAAAAAUCCUUUUUAACAUAUUUACCUACUUUGAUUUUUAAGGAGUUGGAACUAUGUUGUUUUGCUUUGCGAUGUGGUUGAUACAUCGUGUAAAUGUAGUUUAGUAGUUUAUUUUGGGUAGGUGGUUAAGAAGAGAAAAUGCUAAGAAAAAUGCUUGGCGGAAGAUUAGAAAUUGGGGUGGAUAAAUCUGUUGAUGAGUUUCUUUGGUUUUUACAAUUUAGUGAACUAGGCUUGUGAAAAUUUGUAUCUCUCAUCAUUAGUGCUUCUAAACAUUUCGUUUCUGAGUACUUUAUUGUUCAUUUGAUGAUUCUGAAGCCUAGUAUAGGUCUUAAAACGAUACAUUUUGAAUGAGAUCCACUAAAUCAACCUUGCCAAUCGUAUUUACGGAAUAAAGCUGAAUGUAAACAUUAAUAAACUUGACGAUUAUAAUAUACAUUACAUUUUAUGUC
Arachis stenosperma is the source of this 3620-nucleotide RNA transcript. It is a transcript of the gene named nuclear poly(A) polymerase 4-like, with no coding region annotated. The transcript is spliced from 13 exons. The record is from RefSeq and is a predicted model, not a curated record. NCBI's taxonomy places the organism in Eukaryota, Viridiplantae, Streptophyta, Magnoliopsida, Fabales, Fabaceae.